AUGAACGCUGGCGGCGUGCUUAACACAUGCCAGUCGAACGGGAUCCAAGGGGUGCUUGCACUUUUUGGUGAGAGUGGCGAACGGGUGAGUAACACGUGAGUAACCUGUCCUUUUCUUUGGGAUAAGCAUUCGAAAGGGUGUUUAAUACCUUAUGUUCUGUCUGCCUCGCAUGGGGUGGGUGGGAAAGGCUUUGGCCGGAUUUGGGUGGGCUCGCGGUCUAUCAGCUUGUUGGUGGGGUGAUGGCUUACCAAGGCUUUGACGGGUAGCCGGCCUGAGAGGGUUGGGGGACACAGGGGGUCUGAUACGGGGCCGAGACUCGCGGGGGGGAGCAGUGGGGGAUAUUGUACAAUGGGCGAAAGACUGAGGUGGCGAGGCGGCGCGGGGGAGGAGGGGGUGCGCGGUUUGUACUUUUCUUGUUCUGAGCAAGGCAUGUCCGUGGGUGUGUUGAGUGUAGGGGUUGAUUAGCGCCGGCUAACUACGUG
RNAcentral lists this ribosomal RNA (482 nucleotides) under uncultured bacterium. RNAcentral's name for it is "partial 16S ribosomal RNA". It matches the Rfam family "Bacterial small subunit ribosomal RNA", at positions 29 to 507 of the family's 1533-position model. The record is from RNAcentral.